CAGUCGCCGCGGGAAUACGGAGGGAGCUAGCGUUGUUCGGAAUCACUGGGCGUAAAGCGCACGUAGGCGGCUAUUCAAGUCAGGGGUGAAAGCCCGGGGCUCAACCCCGGAACUGCCUUUGAAACUAGAUAGCUUGAAUCUUGGAGAGGCGAGUGGAAUUCCGAGUGUAGAGGUGGAAUUCGUAGAUAUUCGGAAGAACACCAGUGGCGAAGGCGACUCGCUGGACAAGUAUUGACGCUGAGGAGCGAAAGCGUGGGGAGCGAACAGGAUUAGAUACCCCAGUAGUCCCUGUCUCUUAUAA
RNAcentral lists this ribosomal RNA (301 nucleotides) under uncultured bacterium. RNAcentral describes it as "partial 16S ribosomal RNA". It matches the Rfam family "Bacterial small subunit ribosomal RNA", at positions 509 to 809 of the family's 1533-position model. The record is from RNAcentral.